Molecule: ribosomal RNA, 371 nt
Filed under: uncultured bacterium
Lineage: Bacteria
Description: bacterial SSU rRNA
Rfam family: Bacterial small subunit ribosomal RNA
Source: RNAcentral
ACAGAGGUGGCAAGCGUUGUUCGGAAUUACUGGGCUUAAAGGGCGCGUAGGCGGUGGAGUAAGUCUGAGGUGGAAGAUUAGGGCUUAACCCUAAAAUUGCCUUGGAAACUGCAUCACUUGAGUCAGCGAGGGGAUGGCGGAAUUCCAGGUGUAGCGGUGAAAUGCGUAGAUAUCUGGAGGAAGGCCGGUGGCGAAGGCGGCCAUCUGGCGCUGAACUGACGCUGAGGCGCGAAAGCGUGGGGAGCAAACAGGAUUAGAUACCCUGGUAGUCCACGCCCUAAACGGUGGGUACUAGGUGUAGGGCUCGUAAGGGUUCUGUGCCGUAGGGAAACCAUUAAGUACCCCGCCUGGGGAGUACGGCCGCAAGGUUG